This 607-nucleotide long non-coding RNA is filed under the name Homo sapiens (human). RNAcentral's name for it is "HSALNT0308241". The record is from RNAcentral. Lineage: Eukaryota; Metazoa; Chordata; Mammalia; Primates; Hominidae.
UUGAGGAAGGGCGUUUGUGAUUGGUGGGUUCUGCCGCGGCCGGGAAGUUCGAACAGAAGUCUGGGGAAGAGCCGGCGAAGAGCAAAGAGAUAAUACAGUACUCCCAGCUAUAGCAAGCGGCAGUUAUGGAGCAUGCGCAGCAGCAGGGGCGGCCGCAGGUCGCCGUUCAAUAAUACUCAAGGGAUUUGUACAGCCCUGUAGGAGACACCUCCAGAGAAAGUAACAGCUCUCAAUUGAUUAGCUGAGAGAGCAGAGAAGAGGAGAAGCAGCUGGAUGUCAGAGACUGCAGUUUGACGUUGGAGAAAAGCAGCUUGACUUCAGAGGGACAGCUUGACAGCAUGGAUUCAGAGAGGAGAAGAUCACCUUCCUGCUCCGUCCCCUUUCCAGCUCCCUUUCCCACUGAGAGCCACUUACACAGGCAAUAAAAUCCUCUGCAUUCACCACCCUUCAAUUCAUUCAUGCAACCUGAUUUUUUUCUGGAUGCUGAACAUGAGCUCAGGUACCAUGGGUGCAGAUGCAAAAGGCUGUCACACUGACCCUGUGCCCUUGCUGGCAGAAAGCAGCUGCCUCAUGCAAAAAGGCAGAGGGCCACUGAGCUGUCAACACG